GUGGGGCAGCAGUCGCUGUGCUGGGCUCACACACCUCCUGACCCGCAUGGAAAUUGGCACCCUGAGGGCUCCUCAGCCUUCUGGGGCUUGUCUGCCCACGGAGCAGUGUCCACCCUCUGAGAUACAGCCUGGAAAAUGGAUGGGAGAGACAUUUAUGCCUGUUAGUACGUGGAUUGAAUAAGGGGCUUGUGAUCUCAGCAUUUGCAUAUUGAUAUUGGGAAGAGCUCCCUGAGGAAAUGGUGGAGAGCUUUUGCACAGGGAGCUUUCAGGAGCUGCAGACACAUAGGAAUAGCCUCAAGACUCCUUUGGUGAAGAUCUUCCAGCUCUAUUAUGUUUUCCGCAUCAUUUCAGUGUCCAGCAUGUAAAUGAAGGAUGAUCCACCCUGGCUGCUGGUGGAGGGAAGGAGUGAAACUGAGUUAAAAACCCCUUUGAAGAGUGCAUACAAAACAUUGCUGCCACUAAAGCCAAUGCUAAAACUUCCAUGGAUCUCAUUACAGACAGAUUUUCACCAGGCUCCAAUUUAAGUGGAGCUGCUCACAUCCUUACAACAAGCAUCUUAAUAAGCUUUUGCAAACUUGAAGCCUUAACUCAUGGUCCCAGCUGCUGAAUGUGGAGAAGAUAUAUUAGACCCACUUUUUGCCAUGUGGAAGACUGCUCUCUACAUGACAUUAAUUGCUCUCUGCCUCACUUAAUAAGAGUCUGCUUUCAGCAGCCCAAUAUAACCAUGUAAUCAGAAGAAUUUCUGUUUAUUGUUAAAAUGUUUUCAUGCCUAGAAAAUGAAGACUUCUGGAAUAUGUCUGAUGGAAGCACGACAUGGGCGUCGGGAGCGAGCGUCUGGAGCACUGGGCUGGGAUUUGCUCCUCAGCCUCCCCAUGCCCUGCUCAGCCAGGACCCACAGCCCAGGUUAUCCAAGGAUACAGAGCUGGAGGACUCAUCCGAAGAGAUGUGGGGGCUAUCUGAGGUGUGAGCUGUGAGCAUCAGAAAGGAACCAUCUCAAUCCAACGUGCAGAACUGUUGAGAAGCAGGACAAGCCCCUGUGAAGCUUUGCCUCCUCCUCAUCCUC
RNAcentral lists this long non-coding RNA (1063 nucleotides) under Zonotrichia albicollis (white-throated sparrow). RNAcentral describes it as "lncRNA (ENSZALG00000006093.1)". Lineage: Eukaryota; Metazoa; Chordata; Aves; Passeriformes; Passerellidae. The record is from RNAcentral.